RNAcentral lists this ribosomal RNA (253 nucleotides) under uncultured bacterium. RNAcentral's name for it is "partial 16S ribosomal RNA". It matches the Rfam family "Bacterial small subunit ribosomal RNA", at positions 524 to 776 of the family's 1533-position model. The record is from RNAcentral.
UACGAGGGGGGCGAGCGUUGUUCGGAAUUAUUGGGCGUAAAGGGCGCGUAGGCGGUCGUAUAAGUCUUGUGUGAAAUCUUCGGGCUCAACUCGAAGUCUGCAUGAGAAACUAUUCGGCUUGAGUGUGGGAGAGGUGAGUGGAAUUCCUGGUGUAGCGGUGAAAUGCGUAGAUAUCAGGAGGAACACCUGUGGCGAAGGCAAUCCCCUGGACCUGUACUGACGCUCAUGCGCGAAAGCGAUGGGAGCAACAGGG